CCAUCUAGAACCAGUGGAAAGAAAAAAAAUUUUAACCUACUGUGAUUUCUAUCUUAAAAUUCUGUGAACUUCAUUUUUCCUCAACAUUCAAGGAAAAUGAGAUAAAGAAAAGAAGAAGAAAUGAAUUGAGAUAAAGAAAAUGAGAUAAAGAAAAAAAAAAAAGAAGAAAAGUCCCUAUGGCUUUGGGACUUUUAGGUGGGAAAAGUCUUGUCAGUAUAUAAGUGACAGAACUAUGAGCAAGUUUUAUUUUCUUUUGUGCUUUUCAACAUUUUCUGGAUUUUCUAUAAUACACAUGCAUUUUAUUUCUAAUUUGAAAACAAUGUAAAAUCCGUCUCAACUACCCUGCAUACCUUCUCAUACUACCACCCCCAAACCAACCUAAAAUUUGUAGUCCUCCCAACUCAGACCUUCCACUUUUCAGUGUCACUACAAAAUUAGAUGCCGCCUUCUAAUUUUCCAUUAAAUGAGUAAACUACCAGUGUGCUAUACGGAAGAAUGAUGUAACCACUAUAGUAAUAAAUCCCUUUUGUACUUUUAAAGGGAAUAUUUUUGGGAGAAGGUAUUAGAAAUGUAAAUUAACAAAAACUAUAUAAUUUCAUAUGUCAAAUAUUAUAAGGGACUUAUCUUAAAAUAAUCUAGAUAUCCCUCAUCCUAGGUAACAAAUGGAGCUUUCUCAUCAAUGUAUUGUGCACCAACUAAGUGUCAAACACAGAGCUAGGUUACGUAUGAGUAUAAAACUUUAAAGCAAAGCACAGUCUACAGAGGAAUGAUAAAUCUUUUGGGAAGUUUUGGGCAAGCAUGUGACAGUUUUCAUUAAAAACAGUGAUUCUUAAUGAAGAAAUCCUGUAAAAAGACUGUUUGUACUAUUAAUCUUUGUGGAAUAUUAGACUGUAUUAACAACAAUAAAACAGUCCUAAAUUACAGACUACCAAGUGGAAUGUAGAAAUCAGUUUUCCUUGCUACAGAUGGAGCUAACAAGGAGUGUAAAGUUAACUUAAUGUUGGUUAAUUACAUUUUUGGCCAAUUUGUAGAAAGUUUACACAACUAUAACAUUAGGUACAAAACAUUUAUAGUUCCAUAAAACAGUGUAGUGGGACACAAACAGACCUGAGUUCAAACUCAGAUACACAAUGCAACCAUGAGCAAUUUACUUAACAUUCUUGAACUUAGUUUCCUGGCCCACAAUAUAGAAAUAACACCUACCUUAUUGAUUGUUGUGAAGAUCAAGUAAGGUGUAUAAGAUACUAAGCACAAUGUCUGAUAUGCAGCAAAUAAUUUUAAAAUGUUAUUUGUACUCUCUUAUAAUUCUCUUUUAGUACGAAUAUUAUCUAUACUCUUCUAGAAAGCAAAAACUAUCCUAUCAUCUUUAUAUCCCCCAAUAUAGUUUUGGUAGAUACUACGUAACUGUUUGCUGAAAUUAACCCCUGUAAUUUAAGGGUCACUAUCUCAACUUCCCACUUAUGCAAGUUACCUCUAAAUAAAAUCUGCUGAGAAUGGAAUUUUAAGAUUCCCAGAUCAACACUUUAUCGGACAUUUUGGUGAAGAAAAUGAAUCUCCAAUAAUCAACAAGAUAGCUUUAUUAGCACACUGCUCAAUAUCUGGUUUGCAGUCUACGAAAUUAUCAAUGUAGCCAAUAUUUUCAUUUUGAGAUUCUUUACAGUUUUCAUUAAUCCAGGUUCCUUAGAAAUAAACUUUAUUUGCAUUGCAAAAAUAUCUAAGUUUUCUGCUAUACUUCAAAGAAAAAACAGAGUACAUAAAACAAAUUACUUAUGAGACAAAAAAAUUAAAAAUUGCCAAUUUUAAACAGCCCAUUUUUUUUUACUACAGUAAAUAUUCUUCCUUUUACCUUGAAAUCUCUAGCCACCAAAGUUUACAGUUUAUUAAUGCUUCUUUGUUGAAUAAGCCUCCUGAAUUACUAGCAAUACUUAAAAACAUUACUCCAUGCCAUCACAGUAAUAACAAGACAGAACCCCGUAGUUUCAGAUUUUCUUAUUUUUGCCUUUCCACGACCAAAAGCCUAUUCCAGCUCAGGCAGUGGAGUAUUUCAAAUUCUACAAUUUGAAAAAAUGAUGAAAAGCUGGAUAUAUUUCUAAAUAAAUACCAAUUUCAUUAAAGCUAGGUUGUAAUACGUAACUUUGUAAAACAAGUAUUCCUGAGAUAAGCUAUAUAGCAAAAUAACAGUUUUAUCAUUAAAUACAUCUUAAAACUAAAUACAAAACUUCUUAAAUACUUAAAAUCUGUAUGGCAGAGAAGCAUUAAGAACUUCAUAUUAAGCAGUAUUUCAGUCUAAAUUCAAACAAUCUUAGAAGCUUUUUAAAAAAGUGAUUCUUGAAACAAAAGUUUUAAUAAAUACUUGGUUACUGUACGCGAAGUUUCAGGACUCAAUGAAAUAUAACGUUUGAAUAGAUGGAAAUAUUUGGUGAAGCAAACUUUAUGACUAUUUAUCUUUAAAUGCUGAUUUAAGCAAUAUUCUCAAACAUUUUAAUAAACAAGAUAAAUUUUAAAUGCAAUAAGUUUUAUCAGAACUGGGAGUCAAAUAAACCAAGAAAAUGCCCUGGAUAUAUGACAACCUAUAAGGUAACACUUAAUAAAAACUAUUCCUUCUAUGGAAGGGAUUAUAUUUCAGUUUAUCUAAAAGUUUAACUUCAGGUGUUCCUCCAUUUUGGCCACAUUUCUAAGUCAUCAUAUUUAAAAUUUCUUCCUUCUUUGCUUGCCUCCUUGUUAUCAUCGAAAUUGAUCAUACUAAUUAAAAGAUCCUAAACGUUGUAUUUUAAUACACAUGAAAAUAUAUUUUCAGUUCCACUGCCAAAGUAGGUGUCUUUUAUGCCAACUUUCUAUGAAAUACAAGUACCAAUGCCAAAUAUAUUAUAACACUAACACUGCUCAAUUUAAAAGAAAAAUGACACUAUUAUCUUUCUCAAUCAAAACCAAAGUAUGUUUUUCAUGUUUCAAGACCAGGCAAUGUAAAGCAUUUCUGACUUGCCUCAAAUCAUCUUCAUCUUAAAAGCUUAUGUAAAUUAUUUACUAUUAAUAAAAUAGUAAAUUCCAUUCAUUUAGCUAACUUGGUAUGCUGUAAGAUCUGCUUAUAAAUGGCUAAUUAAAAUAUUACAUAGCAACAUUUCCAGUUAUAUGAAAUUCGGCUGUGCAUUUCCAAAAGUCUAAAUUUGCAACACUGAAUUUGUAUACAGUGUUGAAAUCUCUAUUUUUGUGGAAGAAAUAUCAAAUACUAUACCAAUAUUUUCAAGCUUAUGUCUGACUGCACAAGAAACCAAACUUAUAAAGAUUUAUUAAAAAGUGUAUUUAAACAAGAAAUUUAGAUGCAGUUGCAAUACUUAAUAUUGACAUUAAGAAUCAACUCUUAAGAGUUUCUAGAUUUACUUUUUUAAAAAAAUUAACUAUCCAACCCACAAAAAGAAAUGCAAGCAUGCUAUUUUUUCUCUUAAUUCCCAUCUACAGUCUUCGAGUAGCUAAAAGAUAACAAAGCAAAAUAACUUUUAAGUCUAAAAACAAGCAUGAAAUUUUAACAUCUUUGUUAGAAUUCAGAUGUAAACACCUCUGAACACUCCCAAGUAAUGAAAACCCGUCAGGGUAGCUUAAGUCCCCCAUGUACACCAUAGAGUUCUAAAAACAAAAUUCGUGCCUCCAUCAUCAAAUAUUUAGCUGGAAAUGGGAAAGAAUAAUAUUGCUACUCGACAUGGACUUAACUAAGCGAUCUAUUUUGUUCUCAUCUUUUGAAGACAUGUGGUGCCCAAUGUUUUCCCUUAGUCGACUGCUUUCUCAUUUGUAAACAACUUCUGUAGCUCUUACUCCGGUGCUCAAAUGAGAAGGAAAAUUCAGCAUCUGAGCUUCCGGAUCUGGGCAGGGAUAGCUGAGAAAGGGACCAUGUAUCUACCACUUGGUUUAAAAAAAAAAAAAGGAAAAGAAAAAGAUAGCCCUCAAAAUAGAGAAGAAACACCGUCACCUGACGAGGGCUGGUGAAGUGAAGUAAGCAUUUGGUGAGACAUUUAAAAAAAAAAAAAAAACUUGUCUAGGGGCUGGAAGUUUUGGGGGCACUCUUUGUGCGGAGUCUGAGGAGAGGGGGAGGAACAAAAAAACAGCUUGGGAGUCAUUCAAAGGAGUUUAAGGAGCGGUGUAGGGAGGAAAGGCGGGGCGGGGCCCGGCCGCGCGAAGGGAGGGGGCGGCAGGGGCGUUCGCCGGCAGCUCUGACACCGAGGAAGGGGGCGGCGGGCCGGCCUCUCCUGGGACCGGGCGAGAGCAGACUCUCGCUACAGCAGAGCUGCAAAAAUGAGGCCCCCUCUGCAGGAUGAAACAUAGGAAAAUAUUCAAAUACCAAAGUAACUAUGGAAAUGGGAGGAACAAAGAAGAAUUCUUGAAAGUCUCUGAGUAAAGAUAAAAGCAAAACAGAAAAAAGGUCUCACAGCAAGGGGUCUGUGACAGAUCUUCAAAUCAGGAAGUCAGAGAAGAUGAAGUGGAGCAGAGCCAAAUCUCCACAUCCAGGGAGAUGGCCUGUAGAUUACAACUACCCUGUUAACUUUCAGGUGCUCACACAGGAGAACAGAACUGGAAACAUAAAAACUGUCUUCUUGGCAUGUGUACUCAUGAGGAACUUCAGGAUUAGGAUACUGCAGGCAUGUGGAGCAAGUUGGCAGGGUGUUAGUCCAUGGCAACACCUCUACCUUUUUGCUCUUUGCGAUUCAGUUGCUUAGACAUGUGUCUGCUACUAAUUCAAUGACAUAUAAAAAGUACUGAAUUU
Long non-coding RNA from Cebus imitator (Panamanian white-faced capuchin), 4753 nucleotides. RefSeq lists it as uncharacterized. The record is from RefSeq and is a predicted model, not a curated record. Lineage: Eukaryota; Metazoa; Chordata; Mammalia; Primates; Cebidae. The transcript has 3 exons.